This 263-nucleotide unclassified non-coding RNA is filed under the name plant metagenome. RNAcentral's name for it is "partial contains small subunit ribosomal RNA, internal transcribed spacer 1, and 5.8S ribosomal RNA". The record is from RNAcentral.
UUUCCGUAGGUGAACCUGCGGAAGGAUCAUUACAGAAUAACCGAGGUGCGGGGGCUGUCGCUGACUUUAACUGUCCUGCACGCCCGAGUGCCCUCACACACAUCCAUCUCACCCCUGUGGGCGCCACCGCGUGCGUGCCCCUUCCGCUUGUUCGGAGCGGGGCUUACGUUUUCAAACAAACUUAGUAUUCAGUGUAGAAUGUAUUCUUUGUUUUUUCGAUAACGAAAUAAUUACAACUUUCAACAACGGAUCUCUUGGUUCUG